CCCAACUUCGGUUAUAAGAUCCCUCAAAGAUGAUGAGGUUAAUAGCUUCGAGGUGGAAGCAUGGUGACAUGUGGAGCUGACGAAUACUAAUCGAUCGAAGACUUAAUCAA
Molecule: ribosomal RNA, 110 nt
Filed under: Staphylococcus aureus
Lineage: Bacteria; Bacillati; Bacillota; Bacilli; Caryophanales; Staphylococcaceae
Description: partial 23S ribosomal RNA
Rfam family: Bacterial large subunit ribosomal RNA
Source: RNAcentral